This 406-nucleotide ribosomal RNA is filed under the name uncultured bacterium. RNAcentral describes it as "partial 16S ribosomal RNA". It matches the Rfam family "Bacterial small subunit ribosomal RNA", at positions 30 to 526 of the family's 1533-position model. The record is from RNAcentral.
AUUGAACGCUGGCGGCAGGCCUAACACAUGCAAGUCGAGCGAGCGGCGGACGGGUGAGUAAUGUCUGGGUAACUGCCUGAUGGAGGGGGAUAACUACUGGAAACGGUAGCUAAUACCGCAUACCAUCAGAUGUGCCCAGAUGGGAUUAGUUAGUAGGUGGGGUGACGGCUCACCUAGGCGCCGGUCCCUAGCUGGUUUGAGAGGAUGACCAGCCACACUGGAACGGGGACACGGUCCAGACUCCUACGGGAGGCAGCAGUGGGGAAUAUUGCACAAUGGGCGCAAGCCGGAUGCAGCCAUGCCGAGUGUAUGAAGAAGGCCUUCGGGUUGUAAAGCACUUUCAGCGGGGAGGCGUUACCCGCAGAAGAAGCACCGGCUAACUCCGUGCCAGCAGCCGCGGUAAUAC